Molecule: ribosomal RNA, 378 nt
Filed under: uncultured cyanobacterium
Lineage: Bacteria; Bacillati; Cyanobacteriota
Description: bacterial SSU rRNA
Rfam family: Bacterial small subunit ribosomal RNA
Source: RNAcentral
CGAAAGCCUGACGGAGCAACGCCGCGUGAGGGAUGAAGGCCUCUGGUCUGUAAACCUCUUUUCUCAAGGAGGAAGAUCUGACGGUACUUGAGGAAUAAGCCACGGCUAAUUCCGUGCCAGCAGCCGCGGUAAUACGGGAGUGGCAAGCGUUUACCGGAAUUAUUGGGCUUAAAGCGUCCGCAGCGGCCUCGUAAGUCUGUCGUUAAAGCGUGGAGCUUAACUCCAUUUCAGCGAUGGAAACUACAAGGCUUGAGUGUGUUAGGGUCAGAGGGAAUUCCCGGUGUAGCGGUGAAAUGCGUAGAUAUCGGGAAGAACACCAGUGGCGAAGGCGCUCUGUUGGGCCAUAACUGACGCUCAUGGACGAAAGCCAGGGGAGCA